GGGGUUAAUUUAAUAAAUAAUAAAUAUGAAAAAAAAUUUUAAUAUAAUAUAUUUAAUGGGGGUUAAAGUAUUUUUAUAGAAAAAAUUUUAAAAUUUAUAGUGAAAUAGUAUUGUGAAAGAAAAAUUGAAAAUAUUGAAAUAAAAAUUUAUUUAAAAGUAAAUUUUAUUUAUUGUAUCUUGUGUAUCAGAGUUUUUUUAAAAAAAAAAUUGGGUAAAUUUAUUUCGAAAUUUAAAGAGUUAAUUAAUUAAAAAAGUUAAUAUUGCAUAAUUAUUUUAAAUAAUUAAUUGGAAAUGAAAAGUUAAUCGUUUUGAAUGAUAUCUAAUUUUUUUAGAAAAAAGUUUAAUUUUAAAUAAAUUUUAAAAAUAAUUAAUUAAUUAAUUAUUUUUAAAAUUUAAUUUUAUAUUUUAGGGGAUAAGCUUUAAAUUAGAAUUUUAUAAUAAAAGUAAAAAAAAUUGAAAUUUUUAAAAUUUAUAUUUUUUAUAAAUUAUAGUUUAUUAUCAAUAAUUUCAUUUGAUUAAAAUUUUAUUUUAAUUUAAAUUUUUAUAAAAAAAUAUUUUUUAAUUUAAUAAAAAUAGGUAUAAUGAUAAAAUUAGUAUAUAAUUUAUAAAUAAAAUAAAAAUUAUUUAAAUUAAUAAAAAGGAAUUCGGCAAAAAU
Molecule: ribosomal RNA, 655 nt
Filed under: Pieris oleracea (mustard white)
Lineage: Eukaryota; Metazoa; Arthropoda; Insecta; Lepidoptera; Pieridae
Description: partial 16S ribosomal RNA
Source: RNAcentral